AACGAACGCUGGCGGCAGGCCUAACACAUGCAAGUCGAGCGCCCCGCAAGGGGAGCGGCGGACGGGUGAGUAACGCGUGGGAAUUUUCCUCAAGGUACGGAACAACUCAGGGAAACUUGGGCUAAUACCGUAUGAUGUCUAGCGACCAAAGAUUUAUCGCCUUGGGAUAAGCCCGCGUCAGAUUAGGUAGUUGGUGGGGUAACGGCCUACCAAGCCUGCGAUCUGUAGCUGGUCUGAGAGGACGAUCAGCCACACUGGGACUGAGACACGGCCCAGACUCCUACGGGGGGCAGCAGUGGGGAAUCUUGCGCAAUGGGCGAAAGCCUGACGCAGCCAUGCCGCGUGAAUGAUGAAGGUCUUAGGAUUGUAAAGUUCUUUCGCCCGUGACGAUGAUGACGGUAACGGGAGAAGAAGCCCCGGCUAACUUCGUGCCAG
RNAcentral lists this ribosomal RNA (435 nucleotides) under uncultured bacterium. Its description in RNAcentral is "bacterial SSU rRNA". It matches the Rfam family "Bacterial small subunit ribosomal RNA", at positions 29 to 511 of the family's 1533-position model. The record is from RNAcentral.